This 869-nucleotide long non-coding RNA is filed under the name Glycine max (soybean). Its description in RNAcentral is "long non-coding RNA (GMAX_LNC002275)". The record is from RNAcentral. Lineage: Eukaryota; Viridiplantae; Streptophyta; Magnoliopsida; Fabales; Fabaceae.
UUGUUUCAAAAUUCAAUAUUGUUUAAGGACAAUAAUAUUGGUUUUGGCACGAUAUAUAUGAAUAAAGGUUGGUCCAUGUCUUAUGGGAAUUUUUUUUUCCUAAGUGAAAGACACGAAUGUGUUCUAACCAUUAAUCCCACUUACGAAGUGUGAUUCGCAGGUCUCAUGAGAAUUGCGAGAAGAAAUAAAGGUUGGUUGACAACAUCUAUAACUCCUCCAUUGACACUUUUUGUAUCCUGUUGUAUAUAUAAUUAUUUAAAUAUUUUUAAGAAUAUCUUUUCCAUACAAAACAUAGAAUUUAAUAUAUAUAAAAUUUAUAAUUUAUGAUUAAAUGAAAAAAUAAUCCUAUAAAAAAAACUUAAACAAAGAUGUCGAUCGCUAAUUUAGAUGAAUAUGUUAACAGUAGUAAAUAAUUAAGAAACGUAAUUAAUUAUGAUAGAAGAGUUAUUGUUAACACACAAUUUUUAUUUGGCACACAGUGACAAUACUCCAAGGUUCAAUUAACUUGAUAAUACGUAAACAGCACUGGAUGAGUCCAACCAAAGAUCUCAUGUCAUAAUUAAUUAAUUAAUUAAUUAAUGAAGUUGCUUCUGAAGCAUGCAUGUUAUGAUCCAACUCUUUAGCAAAGGCUUUCAUGACUUGGCUAGGCAAGCAAAUCAAAACCAGAAUUCCUUCUUCGCCCUUGGCAUUCUGACUCGGCACAUGAAAGUUCACCGCAGGGAAAGCACCAGCACCAGCAACUGCCAUUCCACCAUACAGCGCAUUCCCCCAACCAAAGUCCAAAUUUCUGAACCCAGCCUCCGUCGUAUCCAACACCAGACACGACCUCACCACAGUGAACAAAGGCCUUCCCUCACUCGCCAUCAAAU